CAACCUCAAAUGCAGUUUCAGGAGCGAGGACGGGGGACCCAACAUCCCUUGAGGAACCGGCCGAUCGACUCGUCGAACGGCCUUGGGGUUAAGUCCCGACAGCGUCACAUCCAGUGAUGCCAGCGGGGCCGAGCACCUCUCGCUCGAACCCGACAGCUCACCUCGUAGGCGCGUGGAGAGAGGAAAG
Molecule: small RNA, 187 nt
Filed under: Gordonia sputi
Lineage: Bacteria; Bacillati; Actinomycetota; Actinomycetes; Mycobacteriales; Gordoniaceae
Description: Gordonia sp. c-di-AMP sequence
Rfam family: c-di-AMP riboswitch aptamer (ydaO/yuaA leader)
About the family: This family represents a conserved RNA structure found upstream of the ydaO and yuaA genes in Bacillus subtilis and related genes in other bacteria. The ydaO/yuaA element is thought to act as a genetic "off" switch for the ydaO and yuaA genes in its native state.
Source: RNAcentral